UACGUAGGGUGCAAGCGUUGUCCGGAAUUAUUGGGCGUAAAGAGCUCGUAGGCGGUCUGUCGCGUCGGCUGUGAAAUCCCGAGGCUCAACCUCGGGUCUGCAGUCGAUACGGGCAAACUGGAGUGUUGCAGGGGAGACUGGAAUUCCUGGUGUAGCGGUGAAAUGCGCAGAUAUCAGGAGGAACACCGGUGGCGAAGGCGGUUCUCUGGGCAUGACCUGACGCUGAGGAGCGAAAGUGUGGGGAGCGAACAGG
Molecule: ribosomal RNA, 253 nt
Filed under: uncultured bacterium
Lineage: Bacteria
Description: partial 16S ribosomal RNA
Rfam family: Bacterial small subunit ribosomal RNA
Source: RNAcentral